GGGGAGUCUGUGCUGCUGAUGGAGUUUACAGGCUCCAGAAUAAAUGUGAGUACAUAAGUUGGCAUCAUCUGGACAGGAUUGAGAUGCUCAUUGAGCCCUCAUGGAACUGAAUGGAGAUAUGUGUCCAUAUCAGCCUGUUGAUGAGGAUGGAGAUAUGUGUCCAUAUCUGGGGCUACAACCUGUGUGCACUGGACCAAAGUGUGCAGAUUUAUGCAGGCCCAAAAUAUGACUGCUUCUGCACGUGCUACCAGCAACAAGAAUUUGGUGAAAGCAGCGACUGCCACAGUAAGGUUAGCUGUGAAAUCAGCCUGAAAGUGAAAGGUUGAGAAGGCAUUGCACAAGCACAGAAGCAAGCACACAGUCCUGGGUUGAUGGCAGUGUUGGCACUCUGGAAUUCCCCAGACCAGAUUCUUCUGGACAAUCUCCUAGCAACUCAACUAGUCGGAAUACAAAAUUCAACUUGAAUGUUGAAGACUGCCGGAAGGAGCCCGAGAAUGUGGCGGUGCUCUGCCU
Long non-coding RNA from Hemicordylus capensis (graceful crag lizard), 513 nucleotides. RefSeq lists it as uncharacterized. NCBI's taxonomy places the organism in Eukaryota, Metazoa, Chordata, Lepidosauria, Squamata, Cordylidae. The record is from RefSeq and is a predicted model, not a curated record. The transcript is spliced from 3 exons.